CUCCUUACUUUUCUUUUGGCUAAGAUCAAGUGUAGUAUCUGUUUUUAUCAGUUUAAUAUCUGACACAUCCCCCACCGGAGACCAUAUAUUAAAUUGUUUUUUGGAACUGGGAGACAGAAUAAGGGCUUUCUCCAUCUCUUUCAUGCAUAAACUUGGUAUUGCACCACCUCCAGGAGCAAUGCACUUCCU
Small nuclear RNA from Fundulus heteroclitus (mummichog), 189 nucleotides. Its record names the gene U2. It matches the Rfam family "U2 spliceosomal RNA". Rfam says of the family: U2 is a small nuclear RNA (snRNA) component of the spliceosome (involved in pre-mRNA splicing). Complementary binding between U2 snRNA (in an area lying towards the 5' end but 3' to hairpin I) and the branchpoint sequence (BPS) of the intron results the bulging out of an unpaired adenosine, on the BPS, which initiates a nucleophilic attack at the intronic 5' splice site, thus starting the first of two transesterification reactions that mediate splicing. The record is from Ensembl. NCBI's taxonomy places the organism in Eukaryota, Metazoa, Chordata, Actinopteri, Cyprinodontiformes, Fundulidae.